RNAcentral lists this ribosomal RNA (496 nucleotides) under uncultured bacterium. RNAcentral describes it as "partial 16S ribosomal RNA". It matches the Rfam family "Bacterial small subunit ribosomal RNA", at positions 28 to 507 of the family's 1533-position model. The record is from RNAcentral.
GAUGAACGCUGGCGGCGUGCCUAAUACAUGCAAGUCGAGCGAACGGACGAGAAGCUUGCUUCUCUGAUGUUAGCGGCGGACGGGUGAGUAACACGUGGAUAACCUACCUAUAAGACUUGGAUAACUUCGUAAACCGUAGCUAAUACCGGCUAAUAUUUUGAACCGCAUGGUUCAAAAGUGAAAUACGGUCUUGCUGUCACUUAUAGGUGGAUCCGCGCUGCAUUAGCUAGUUGGUAAGGUAACGGCUCACCAAGGCAACGAUGCAUAGCCGACCUGAGAGGGUGAUCAGCCACACUGGAACUGAGACACGGUCCAGACUCCUACGGGAGGCAGCAGUAGGGAAUCUUCCGCAAUGGGCGCAAGCCUGACGGAGCAACGCCGCGUGAGUGAUGAAGGUCUUCGGAUCGUAAAACUCUGUUAUUAGGGAAGAACAUAUGUGUAAGUAACUGUGCACAUCUUGACGGUACCUAAUCAGAAAGCCACGGCUAACUACGUG